This 253-nucleotide ribosomal RNA is filed under the name uncultured bacterium. RNAcentral's name for it is "partial 16S ribosomal RNA". It matches the Rfam family "Bacterial small subunit ribosomal RNA", at positions 524 to 776 of the family's 1533-position model. The record is from RNAcentral.
UACGUAGGGGGCAAGCGUUGUCCGGAAUCAUUGGGCGUAAAGAGCGCGUAGGCGGCCCUGUAAGUCCGCUGUGAAAGUCAAGGGCUCAACCCUUGAAUGCCGGUGGAUACUGCAGGGCUAGAGUCCGGAAGAGGCGAGUGGAAUUCCUGGUGUAGCGGUGAAAUGCGCAGAUAUCAGGAAGAACACCCGUGGCGAAGGCGGCUCUCUGGUACGUGACUGACGCUGAGACGCGAAAGCGUGGGGAGCGAACAGG